This 496-nucleotide ribosomal RNA is filed under the name uncultured bacterium. RNAcentral describes it as "bacterial SSU rRNA". It matches the Rfam family "Bacterial small subunit ribosomal RNA", at positions 29 to 518 of the family's 1533-position model. The record is from RNAcentral.
AUGAACGCUAGCGACAGGCCUAACACAUGCAAGUCGAGGGGCAGCGCGGGAGAAGCUUGCUUUCCUGGCGGCGACCGGCGCACGGGUGCGUAACAGGUGUGCAAUCUGUCCAUAGUCGGGGAAUAGCCCAGCGAAAGUUGGAUUAAUGCUCCAUGUGAAUCGAGACCGCAUGAUUUUGAUUUGAAACGUAAGGACUAUGGGUGAGCACGCUUCUGAUUAGAUAGUUGGUGAGGUAACGGCUCACCAAGUCGACGAUCAGUAGGGGUUCUGAGAGGAAGGUCCCCACAUUGGAACUGAGACACGGUCCAAACUCCUACGGGAGGCAGCAGUGAGGAAUAUUGGUCAAUGGGCGAGAGCCUGAACCAGCCAAGUCGCGUGAAGGAAUGAAGGCUCUAUGGAUUGUAAACUUCUUUUGUCCGAGGGUAAAAAAGGUCACGUGUGACUUCUUGCAAGUAUCGGACGAAUAAGCAUCGGCUAACUCCGUGCCAGCAGCAGC